UACGUAGGGUGCAAGCGUUGUCCGGAAUUAUUGGGCGUAAAGAGCUCGUAGGCGGUCCGUCACGUCGGCUGUGAAAACCCGAGGCUCAACCUCGGGCCUGCAGUCGAUACGGGCAGACUAGAGUUCGGUAGGGGAGACUGGAAUUCCUGGUGUAGCGGUGAAAUGCGCAGAUAUCAGGAGGAACACCGGUGGCGAAGGCGGGUCUCUGGGCCGAAACUGACGCUGAGGUGCGAAAGCGUGGGGAGCGAACAGG
Molecule: ribosomal RNA, 253 nt
Filed under: uncultured bacterium
Lineage: Bacteria
Description: partial 16S ribosomal RNA
Rfam family: Bacterial small subunit ribosomal RNA
Source: RNAcentral